This 3355-nucleotide long non-coding RNA is filed under the name Selaginella moellendorffii. RNAcentral's name for it is "long non-coding RNA (SMOE_LNC001621)". Lineage: Eukaryota; Viridiplantae; Streptophyta; Lycopodiopsida; Selaginellales; Selaginellaceae. The record is from RNAcentral.
CUGCAGCUAUAGAACUUUGCAAUUACACCAUUGAGUUUUAUGAUUUCUCAAGCGGUCCUCGUAUCAGAUGCAAUGAACAGAGUGCUUCAGUCAAGCUCUCAAAUCUCAAUGGCGACUCUGCCCAAGUCACUGGCUUGAAAGGCUCUUUCUGUGGAGGGAAUUCUGCAACAGUCAUGGCACCUUGUGACUACUGCAUUAUCACUAUAAAUGUCUCCCCUCAAAGAAUGGUUCCAGGCUUGGUGACGGUUUUUCGUGAAGGAAUGUUGGAAAAUGAGUACUUCUUCCGUUUUUCAAGUGAAGUGCUCACUGAGUGUCCCGGUUUUAACGUCGCUAGUAAUUUUGCCAUUGGCUUCAAUCGGGAGUUUUUCCUCUUUCCAACAACAUGCAUGUACAAUUCAAGAUCAAAUUUCCUGAUGUGUCCUGGUUGCUCAGCUUCAGGGACGGUAAAUAAUUCUUUAUCAUAUCCUUCACAAAUCCAAAUUAACAUUUUUCAACUUUUUUUGGCUUAUAUUUCAACUUAGUGCUCGUAUUCCAUCAAGCUGGAUGCCCAGACAUUGUUCCUAUGUGUCACAAGUCAGAAGAUUGAGGUGUCAAUUUACAACGAUUACGAUAGAAAUGUUGGGCGGGGAUCUGGGGAGUCUGCAGCUUUUGUAGCAUCUCGCAGUGACUUUCAGCAAGGAAUCACUGUCAUUGGGCGAUGCGUGGAUUUUUGUGCAGUUGGGGUUCAGAUAUAUGAUACAAGUUGCUCAUAUCAAGUGAAUCAGGUGAAUGUUAUGGGUUCAAACAACAUCUCUCGUACUUUCCAGGUUGGUGAAACCUUAAGCCCGAACCAAGUCAUCUUCCUAAGGAACUAUGCUUCAGUAUACAGAACUCAGUGUGGUCGGCCUAAUCCAUACCCCAUCAUGAUUGGUGGAACAACUGUACUCGUUCCAAGGGCCUGUGAAACUAACUUUACUGCUACACCAACUAGAAUCACAUGUCCAUGCUAAGGAAACUUAAGCAUGGAAAUAAUAAAAAUAAUGGGGGCCAGUCCUACGAAGACAGUCAGACCUGAAUUUCAGAAUAAUGUUGAGUAUUUAGGUCCUCCUAGUGUGCCAUGUGGAGUGGACACAUCAGCUAGUUAAGAGUUGUGACCUUUCGUUAAUUGCUGAAUAUACUUAUUAUAAUGCAUCAGAGACUUCUUCCAGAAUUCCUACAUGGUAUCAGAGACUGAGUUUUGCUGAUAUUCAGAGAGCCCUAUGGAGAAAUAAGAUGGUAGUGAUCCAGAUUGAACCACCAGAUGUGGUGGAAAGAUGAAAGCAUUUAGAUGAUGCUUUCAGCAUGAGGAACAACUCAGAUUUUGGCCUAGUGAGUGAUUUGAGUUAACAGAGGAUCUAGGCAAUGGAGGAUUCCCUUUUCUGGUAGAUUGUUUGCAUCCCAUGUGCUAGAAGCCAAGAACGAGAUGGUGCUGAGAUUGCAAUUGGUGGCAGGGGAGAAAUGCCAGGGCACAGAGUGCUCAGACUGGUCACAUGGGGGAAUGUCAGCCAAAGGAACAGUGACAUCCAAUUGGGUAGGAACCCAUCAGGCACAUAUAUGCAAAAUACAUAUUGGAUAACUAUACUUUUUUUAUCAUAUCAAUUUGGGAUCUUGGAACAUUUUUUGUGGUGGCCAAGUGUGGGCUAUAAAAUCCAUUGGGAGGAAUCCAAAUAACAAAGUUAGGCAAGGAACACUAAUGUGUUAAAUGCUAAACCAACUUUAUUUUCUUUUGCAGGUGAGGAAGGUAGAAAACUUUUUAUUUGUGGCAUUGCCACAUGCAAGGAUUGUGAUGCAGGUCUUAUGGGAAGUUUGUGGAGAUAAACCUAGUUGACUUUGUUAUUUAAAAUCUAAGUUGGUUAUUCACUCCAAGAUUCAAAGAAAAUGAAGUGUAAUAGGCUUGAAUUUGAUAAUAGGAGUUGGGUAUAAUGCUUUAGUAAGCUUGACUUUUACUGAUUGAUGGAUGAUAACAAAAUGUAUUAAAAUGAAUUUGAUCAGUUACGAGAAUAUUCUGCCAGCUGCAUGCCUGCUCCCUCUCUAUUAAAUAGGGGCAAACUAUUUUGGUAAAUUACAAUAAUUCAAAAAUGGAGAUAUUACUUUUCUUCUGUUCAUGAUUUGCUCUUCUCUCAUACUAUUUCUAUCUGCAGCUGUAAAACUUUGCAAUUACACCAUUGAGUUUUAUGAUUUCUCAAGCGGUUUUCGUAUCAACUACAAUGAACAGAGUGCUUCAGUCAAGCUCUCAAAUCUCAAUGGCAACUCUGCCCAAGUCACUAGCUUGAAAGGCUAUUUCUGUGGAGGGAAUUUUGCAACAGUCAUGGCACCUUGUGACUACUGCAUUGCCACUAUAAAUGUCUCCCCUCAAAGAAUGGUUCCAGGCUUGGUGACGGUUUCUCAUGAAGGAAUGUUGGAAAAGGAGUACUUCUUCCGUUUUUCAAGUGAAGUGCUCACUGAUUGUCCCUGUUUCGACGUCGCUAGUGAUUUUGCCAUUGGCUUCAAUCAGCAAUUUUUCCUCUUUCCAACAACAUACAUGUACAAUUCAAGAUCAAAUUUCCUGAUGUGUCCUGGUUGCUUAGCUUCGGGGACAGUAAAUAAUUCUUUAUCAUAUCCUUCACAAAUCCAAAUUAAUAUUUUUCAACUUUUUUUGGCUUAUAUUUCAACUUAGUGCUCGUAUUCCAUCAAGCUGGAUGCCCAGACAUUGUUCCUAUGUGUCACAAGUCAGAAGAUUGAGGUGUCAAUCUACAACAAUUACGAUAGAAAUGUUAGGCGGGGAUCUGGGGAGUCUGCAGCUUUUGUAGCAUCUCGCAGUGACUUUGAGCAAGGAAUCACUGUCAUUGGGCGAUGCGUGGAUUUUUGUGCAGUCGGGGUUCAGAUAUAUGAUACAAGUUGCUCAUAUCAAGUGAAUCAAGUGAAUGUUAUGGGUUCAAACAACAUCUCUCGUACUUUCCAGGUUGGUGCAACCUUAAGCCCAAACCAAGGCAUCAUCCAGAGGAGCUAUGCUUCAGUAUACAGAACUCAGUGCGGUCAGCCUAAUCCGUACCCCAUCAUAAUUGGUGGAACAACUGUACUUGUUCCAAGGGCCUGUGAAACUAACUUUACUGCUACACCAACUAGAAUCACAUGUCCAUGAUAAGGAAACUUAAGCAUGGAAAUAAUAAAAAUAAUGGGUGGCCAGUCCUAUGAAGAUGGUCAGACCUGAAUUUCAGAAUAAUGUUGAGUAUUUAGGUCCUCCUAGUGUGCCAUGUGGAGUGGACACAUCAGCUAGUUAAGAGUUGUGACCUUUCGUUAAUUGCUGAAUAUACUUAUUAUAAUGCAUCAGAGACUUCUUCCAGAAUUCCUACAUGGU